This 1473-nucleotide long non-coding RNA is filed under the name Macaca mulatta (Rhesus monkey). Its description in RNAcentral is "lncRNA (ENSMMUG00000055473.1)". Lineage: Eukaryota; Metazoa; Chordata; Mammalia; Primates; Cercopithecidae. The record is from RNAcentral.
GGGGCUGGUGGGGUUUACAGGCUGGGAAAUGAAGAGAUCAGGAAAGAAGGCGCAGGAGCAGCUGCGAGGGAGGCGGAGAACAGGCAGGGAUCAUCCUCAGGCCCUGGGUCCAGCCAAGGCCUGAGCAGGGUCAUGCAGCCCUGUCCCGCUCGGCUCCCGUCCGCUGCUGCCUGAGUGGUGCCUGUGUCGAAGGGCUCGGACUGUGGGCCUGCUGGGCUGGAGCCUGAAUCGUGGCCUGGCCACCCACUCUCCUAGGAGCCUUAGGCGAGUCACUAGUCCUCUCUGAGCCCCGGUUCCUCAUCUGUGAAAUGGAGAGAACAAGACAGUUGUAAAGAUUCAGAGGGUGUGUAAAAUGCAAGCACAUGGCCGACCAGAGCCCAGCCCUGCCCCAUGUGGCUCCUGUCCUGGGCAUGGCAGGAGGUCAGGGUUUCCAGCCUGCCGUUCAGCAGUACCCAGACAGGCACAGCUACCAGAAGGUGACCUCCCCAAGCCCACAGAGGCUUCCUGGGCACCCAGCCCAGCCUGAAACCUCCACCCAGGCGGCAGUGAGGCCUUCCUGCCUGUGGUCAGCUGUGGUGUAUCGAGGAGCCCUGGCCAGACACAGAGUCUCCUGACUACAUUGGUGUCACCUGGAUAAUCCAAGACACUCUCCCCGUCUGAAGAUCCCUCAUCAAACUGCAUCUGCCAAGCCCCUUUUGCAGAUCAAAGGAGAAGCGAAUUGUGAUCUAUUCCAUACGAGGGGCUUGGUGCCUGCAGCAACACGGGUGAAUCUCCAGAGAGUGGUGACGAGUUGGAGGAGCCAGUCAAAAAAGAAAGUGCUGUGUGAUUCCAUUUAUAGAAAACUCCAGAAAAUGUGGACUAAUCUAGAGUGAUGGAAAGCAGACCCAUGAUUGCCUGGGACAAGGAGCCUUGGGGGUGGAGGGGGGCCAGGGGGAGGAGUUUCAAAGGUGAUAAGGACAUUUUGAGGGUGAUGGAUGUGAUCCCUAUCUUAAUUGUGGCCAUGGCUUCAUGGAUAGAUACAAAUGUCAAAACAUAUUGAACUGUAUACUUUAAAUGCUCGCACUUUACUACAUGCCAAUCACAUCUUCAUAAAGCUGGGGUUUUUUUUGUUUUGUUUUGUUUUGUUUUUGUUUUUUUCUGUGUUUUUUUUUAAAAAAGGCCUGGAAAUGGAGAUGAGGACAGCCUGGCCUCAGUCUCCCCACUUGCAAUGUGGGGGAUCCCCAUGUGCCUUGCACCCCCUGAGAGCUCCAGGCUUAGGAGGAGACCAAGGUGAGCCCUGCUUCUAGCCAGAAACCCCGAGGCCCUAACCCCCAGGGCUGGAUAGCUGCAGGGCCCAGGCUACUGCCCCUCCGGGGAUGGACAGGUGCGAGGCCCCUCCAGAGGCGUAACCUGUUUCCGGCAGGCCGUGGCCGUGAGGAGAAGAGUGCGGAGGUCCCUUUCUUCUUUCUUCCUGAAUAAAAAAAUGCAUGAUGC